UGAGCCCCAAUUUUCUUUUCUCAUUUCCCUUCUCAAUACCCCAAAACCGAAAUCCCCGUUUCUCAGCAGAGGUGCAUUUGGGUUUCCCGAAUCCUAAUUUAUCUCAUUUCCCCAAAUCCCUAAAACUCAUUUCCCCCCAAAUUACUCUGCUGCCUCAUGCACGCCGCUGGAUGCUCACCCCGCCUGUGAAGGUUCUCUCCCCUUCAUCUCUCUAAGAUCUUGAGAAGGUCGCUCGCCCAUUACAGCUUCAAGAAGCAGUGGUUGUUUGAGCCAUUUUUAGUCACCGGCCUAAUCUCUACUCCUCAAUCUGAUCCCUAAAAAUGUCGUUACCAAACUCAUUGGACUCUCAUCUUGGACCGCUCACCGUCUCAACUCGUCCAGCUUAACAGGCUUUCCGAUUCCGAUUUAGGAAUCGUUGAGCUAACUUUGAACAGACCUGAGAGGAGAAAUGCCAUUGGGAGGGAUUUUCUAAUAGGGGUUAUAGAGUCUCCUGAAGCUGUCAGUAAGAAUUCCUCAACUAAUGUGGUUUUGAUUCGUAAUUUGGUUCCGAAGGUGCUUUGUGCUGGUAAUGAUUUGAAGAAGCCUUGGAAGGGUAGACCGCUCUCAAAUACACAGUAUAUUUACUGUUUUCCAGGUAGUACCGUCUAUAAUAAAUGGUGGCAUAACAACUUUGUACUUUGUUUUAUGGGGAAAAGGUCUUAAAUCUUCUGGACCUCUUAGGUAGUUUCAUCUCGAACAAAUUUUCAUGCUACCAUUUCAUGUGGCUGUUCUUAUCAGCUAGUUAAAAUACCAUGCCUUCUGUUUCGAUACUAGAAGUCUCUUUUUGCAUCUCUAUUUUAUUUUUGCAUUUCACUCUCAUUCUCUCUAUUUUAGUCUCUUUCCCAUAUUCCUUUUCCUUCUUUAUAACAUAAUUUUCCAAUAGCUGUAUAUAUUUGUGAUUUCAUGUUCUGGAUUUAGAGAAAGUUGGAAGUUUUACCAUAGUUUUUCUUUUAUUUGCAAAUCUGGUGUUCUUAUAUUUUCUUAGUCGUUCCAAGUUUUUGGUUUUGUUGCUUCUUUUUAAUCAGUAAUAUAUAUUUUGAUUUGGUGUUUGAAAUAUAUUUGAUGACCUUAUAUAUGUAAUCAAUAAGGAAUGGUCUAAAAUUUAAACACUAUAUAUAUAUAUCCAUAAUGCGUGUGUAUAUAUAUUCUACUAGAAACCCAAUUUUUUUUAGACUCAAGGACUUUCACCUCUUUCCCUAAUACGAUCUUAACCCUAACAUUCUCUCUCGUUCUCAUUAAGCAACGGAAGGAGUAACAAGCUUAUUCUUCUUCUCAAGGACGAAGGGAAACAAGCUUCACUUUUUCCAUGUCUCUGUUAUUGAAAGUUAAUUUCUUGCCUCUUGCGAUACACUGGACGACUGGAAUAGGUCUAUUGUUGUAUUGGUAACUCCUAUUAAACUUACUGAUAGGUAAUUCUUAGUAUUGUUCUGUUUUGAUAAAUUUUCCUUGCAUAUAUUACUCCAUUUCGGUAUUUCACUCCAACUGUCUAACUUAUUUAACUGAGUUACUUGGUGGAUCAAUUGCAUUUUCUAUUGGAUCAAAUAGAAGACUAGUGAGUGGUGGUUCUUUCUAUCUAUUUCUCUGAAAACCCAACAAUGAGUGGCCAUCUUCUUUUAUAUAUUUCUUAACUUCUUUUUUUCAAUUUAUUUUUUCUAUAUUAAUGUUUUUUUUUGUUUCUUUUCAAAUGUACAUGAUUCUCUUUCUCUUAGGUAUGAUUUUUCUUAAUUUUCAUAAGAAAGCAUUAUUUUUCUUUAUAUAUAUGUAAUUUAAUUUUUUUCUUAUUCAUAUAUGGAUUUGGAAAAUAUUAUGAUUGAGCUUUUUCUUUUUUUUUUCUUUUUUUAAAUAUAAUCAAUGAAAUUGUUGUUCUGAAUCAGUUCUAAGUUCUAACAUGAUCUUUGUCAACCUCUUAAAUUUAUUGAGCAGUGCAUCGUACACAAAUUUUUAAAGGGAUUCAUUAUAUUGAGUUUUUAUUUUCAGUUCUACCUGAUUUGGUAGUGAGUGAAGAUGGUUUUUUCUAUACGCCUUCUGCUAUCGGGCCCCCUUCCGAGUCCAAGCAUUUGUAUUGAAAGGUUACAACUCUCAUGCCUUAUGGGUGUUUAUCGUUUACUCUAUUUCUUAUAUCAAAUCUGCUAAUCUUUUUAUACACACUGAUUUUUUUAUAGUCAUUGGGCCAUGUAUCACUAUAAUAUAUUGUGUAUAUAUAAAUAAAUUAGCAAGGUGAUUCUAUCCUCUCAGUUCUCUGUUCACACCUUUCUUUCCUCACUUAUUUUGUUCUUACUUUGAUACAAGUUUAGGUUCAUAUUUUAAAUUAUUUGAAUAUGGCAGUUUUAAUUAAUAAUAGUCCUUUAGAUUUUCCUUGUUUGUAACGUUAUAUAUGGAUGGUUACUUAUGGAAGUAUACUUGACUUUGAUUUUAUCAUUUGACUAUUAAGACUAUGGAAGUUUUAUUGCAAGCAUCAUGGAAAUAUGGUUGUAGCUUAUUUUUCAACAUUUUACUGCAACAUGGGAUUUGUUGUGUGUCAUCCACAAUGAUGUCUCCUAGUUAAGGUGAGUAAUGAUUUUAAUUCUUAAUCUAUAUUGGUUUUAUCUUAAUUGUCAGCAAAGCUUUGUGAAGGAUCAUUUGGUUUCACCUUAUUUUUUAUUUAUUUAUUUAUUUUUCUUUAACUUUAAUGCAGAAAAUGUGUUCGAGAAAAUACCCCAUAAAAUGACAAUUGUGUUCAUAGUUGUUUUGCAUAGUGGGUUUCACGAUAAUUUAUUUUGAUGUUUUUGUCCUUUGUCUUAUUGAUUAUAGGCUACAACUUUAGCAUAUUAUUUGGGCUGUGUUCAUUUUUGUGUUUGUGUGAGUUUUUGGAUUUUUCAUUAACUAUUAUGCAUAUUUAUUUAUUUUACAGCAAUUUUAUAGUCUAAUUAUUGAUUAUGAGCUCUCUUUUUGUUGUUUGGUUUGAUAGUACUGAUACUUUACAAGGAUGAUUGGCCUAGCUGCUGAUUAUUGUCCAAGAUUCAUUCUUUAAUUAAGACAGAAAGUAUGCUUUUUAGUUUGGAAAAUUACAAGAGAUGAACAUCCAUACUCUAAUUUUAGUCUUACAAGAGAUGUGUUAUAUGUUAUUUUCAUUAUAAAUUCUAUCUUAUGUUGUUUAUCCUUGUAUAAUGCAGAUGCUAAAGAAGCUAAGCAAACAAUUACGUGGUGAGGAUUGGAAUUGGAACAACUUAAACACAUUAUGUUGGGCAAUAGGGUCUAUAUUUGGGUUUGAUUAUGACUGUGUUGAUUCUUUAUUGCUUCUCCAUAGUUAUCUUUAGUUGAUAUUUAUGAAAUGGGUUAUCUUUAUUGAUUAUAAUUACUUGGGUUAUAUGUCAACCUUUAGAAGACCUUGAUUGGAU
Long non-coding RNA from Humulus lupulus (European hop), 3416 nucleotides. RefSeq lists it as uncharacterized. The transcript has 4 exons. NCBI's taxonomy places the organism in Eukaryota, Viridiplantae, Streptophyta, Magnoliopsida, Rosales, Cannabaceae. The record is from RefSeq and is a predicted model, not a curated record.